GUGGGGAAUUUUGGACAAUGGGCGCAAGCCUGAUCCAGCAAUGCCGCGUGCAGGAAGAAGGCCUUCGGGUUGUAAACUGCUUUUGUACGGAACGAAACGGUCCGGGUUAAUACCCUGGGCUAAUGACGGUACCGUAAGAAUAAGCACCGGCUAACUACGUGCCAGCAGCCGCGGUAAUACGUAGGGUGCAAGCGUUAAUCGGAAUUACUGGGCGUAAAGCGUGCGCAGGCGGUUUUGUAAGACAGGCGUGAAAUCCCCGGGCUCAACCUGGGAAUUGAGAUUGUGACUGCAAGGCUGGAGUGCGGCAGAGGGGGAUGGAAUUCCGCGUGUAGCAGUGAAAUGCGUAGAUAUGCGGAGGAACACCGAUGGCGAAGGCAAUCCCCUGGGCCUGCACUGACGCUCAUGCACGAAAGCGUGGGGAGCAAACAGGAUUAGAAACCCUGGUAGUCC
This 450-nucleotide ribosomal RNA is filed under the name uncultured bacterium. Its description in RNAcentral is "partial 16S ribosomal RNA". It matches the Rfam family "Bacterial small subunit ribosomal RNA", at positions 354 to 796 of the family's 1533-position model. The record is from RNAcentral.